Non-coding RNA from Pelobates cultripes (western spadefoot toad), 1006 nucleotides. The record is from the annotation of a GenBank genome assembly. NCBI's taxonomy places the organism in Eukaryota, Metazoa, Chordata, Amphibia, Anura, Pelobatidae.
CCACACAAUUACUGACUCACUGCCAAACCGGUCAUGCUGGAGGAUGUUGCAGGCAGCAGAACGUUCUCCACAGCGUCUCCAGACUCGGCCACGUCUAUCACAUGUGCUCAGUGUGAAUCUGCUUUCAUAUGCGAAGAGCACAGGGCUCCAGUGGCGAAUUUGCCAAUCUUGGUGUUCUCUGGCAAAUGCCAAACGUCCUGCACGGUGUUGGGCUGUAAGCACAACCCCCACCUGUGGACGUCAGGCUCUCAUAACACCCUCAUGGAGUCUGUUUCUGAACGUUUGAGCAGACACUUGCACAUUUGUGGCCUGCUAGAGGUCAUUUUGCAGGGCUCUGGCAGUGCUCCUCCUGUUCCUCCUUGCACAAAGGCGGAGGUAGCGGUCCUGCUGCUGGGUUGUUGCCCUCCUACGGCCUCCUCCACGUCUCCUGGUGUACUGGCCUGUCUCCUGGUAGCACCUCCAUGCUCUGGACACUACGCUGACAGACACCACAAACCUUCUUGCCACAGCUCGCAUUGAUGUGCCAUCCUGGAUGAGCUGCACUAUCUGAGCCACUUGUGUGGGUUGUAGACUCCGUCUCAUGCUACCACUAGAGUGAAAGCACUUACAGCAUACAAAAGGGACCAAAACAUCAGCCAGGAAGCAUAGGAACUGAGAAGUGGUCUGUGGUCACCACCUGCAGAACCACUCCUUUAUUGGGGGUGUCUUGCUAAUUGCCUAUAAUUUCCACCUGUUGUCUAUCCCAUUUGCACAACAGAAUAUGAAAUUGAUUAUCACUCAGUGUUGCUUCCUAAGUGAACAGUUUGAUUUCACAGAAGUGUGAUUGACUUGGAGUUACAUUGUGUUAAGUGUUCCCUUUAUUUUUUUGAGCAGUGUAUAUAAUGAGAAUGUUGGAUUAUCCAGAGAGUUUACUUUUUGAGAACUACUUGUAGACCUGUUACAUUUGCAUCUCCCACAAGAAUUAUAUAGAAGCGGUAAAUAUAUGUAAGGAUUUCUUGUGUUUUCU